This 1242-nucleotide ribosomal RNA is filed under the name metagenome. RNAcentral's name for it is "bacterial LSU rRNA". It matches the Rfam family "Bacterial large subunit ribosomal RNA", at positions 1564 to 2815 of the family's 2925-position model. The record is from RNAcentral.
UGAAUACGAGACGCUACGGCGUCGAAGCAGUCUAUGUCAUACUUCCAAGAAAAGCUCGCAAUGUCUUAAACAAAUAAUGCCUGUACCAUAACCGACACAGGUGGGUAGGUAGAGUAUACUAAGGGGCGCGAGAUAACUCUCUCUAAGGAACUCGGCAAAAUGACUCCGUAACUUCGGGAGAAGGAGUGCCUUAUUUAUAAGGUUGCAAUAACAAGAUCCAAGCAACUGUUUAUCAAAAACACAGGUCUCCGCUAAGUCGUAAGACGAUGUAUGGGGGCUGACGCCUGCCCAGUGCCAGAAGGUUAAAGAAGUUGGUUAGCAUUCGCGAAGCUGAUGACUGAAGCCCUGGUGAACGGCGGCCGUAACGAUAACGGUCCUAAGGUAGCGAAAUUCCUUGUCGGGUAAGUUCCGACCCGCACGAAAGGCGUAAUGAUUUGGAUACUGUCUCGGAGAGGGACUCGGUGAAAUAGACUUGUCUGUGAAGAUGCGGACUACCUGCACCUGGACAGAAAGACCCUAUGAAGCUUUACUGUAACUUGAAAUUGAAAUUGGACUUUAUUCGCGCAGUAUAGGUGGGAGGCGUUGAGAAUAUUCUUGCGGGAAUGUUGGAGCCAUCAGUGAGAUACCACCCUUGUAAUGUUAGAUUUCUAACUUUGUAUCAUGAUCUGGUCAAAGAACAGUUUCAGGCGGGCAGUUUGACUGGGGCGGUCGCCUCCCAAAUGGUAACGGAGGCGUACAAAGGUUUCCUCUGAACGGGUAGAAAUCGUAUCUAGAGUGUAAAGGCAUAAGGAAGCUUGACUGUGAGACCUACAAGUCGAGCAGGGACGAAAGUCGGUCUUAGUGAUCUGACGGUGCUGAGUGGAAAGGCCGUCACUCAACGGAUAAAAGUUACUCUAAGGAUAACAGGCUGAUCUCCCCCAAGAGUUCACAUCGACGGGGAGGUUUGGCACCUCGAUGUCGGCUCAUCGCAUCCUGGGGCGGUAGUACGUCCCAAGGGUUGGGCUGUUCGCCCAUGAAAGCGGUACGCGAGCUGGGUUCAGAACGUCGUGAGACAGUUCGGUCCAUAUCCGGUGUAGGCGUUAGAAUAUUGAGAGGAGCCUUCUUUAGUACGAGAGGACCGAGAAGGACAUACCUCUGGUGUACCAGUUAUCGUGCCAACGGUAAACGCUGGGUAGCUAUGUAUGGAGAGGAUAACCGCUGAAAGCAUCUAAGUGGGAAGCCCACCUCAAGAUAAGUAUUCUC